This 451-nucleotide ribosomal RNA is filed under the name Podospora sp. XAE_053. Its description in RNAcentral is "eukaryotic LSU rRNA". The stretch from base 94 to 247 matches the Rfam family "5.8S ribosomal RNA". Lineage: Eukaryota; Fungi; Ascomycota; Sordariomycetes; Sordariales; Podosporaceae. The record is from RNAcentral.
GAGUACUUACGUUUCCUCGGUGGGUUCGCCCGCCGAUUGGACAAUUUAAACCAUUUGCAGUUGCAAUCAGCGUCUGAAAAACAUAAUAGUUACAACUUUCAACAACGGAUCUCUUGGUUCUGGCAUCGAUGAAGAACGCAGCGAAAUGCGAUAAGUAGUGUGAAUUGCAGAAUUCAGUGAAUCAUCGAAUCUUUGAACGCACAUUGCGCCCCUUGGUAUUCCAUGGGGCAUGCCUGUUCGAGCGUCAUUUGUACCUUCAAGCUUUGCUUGGUGUUGGGUGUUUGUCUCGCCUUUGCGUGUAGACUCGCCUUAAAACAAUUGGCAGCCGGCGUAUUGAUUUCGGAGCGCAGUACAUCUCGCGCUUUGCACUCAUAACGACGACGUCCAAAAGUACAUUUUUACACUCUUGACCUCGGAUCAGGUAGGGAUACCCGCUGAACUUAAGCAUAUC